UACAGAGGGUGCAAGCGUUGUCCGGAAUCACUGGGCGUAAAGGGCGCGUAGGCGGCCUGAUAAGUCGGGGGUGAAAUGCUGCGGCUUAACCGCAGCACGGCCUUUGAGACUGUCGGGCUUGAGCACGGUAGAGGCAGAUGGAAUUCCCGGUGUAGCGGUGGAAUGCGUAGAGAUCGGGAAGAACACCGGUGGCGAAGGCGGCUCACUGGCCCGUUACUGACGCUCAGGCGCGACAGCGUGGGGAUCAAACAGG
This 253-nucleotide ribosomal RNA is filed under the name uncultured bacterium. Its description in RNAcentral is "partial 16S ribosomal RNA". It matches the Rfam family "Bacterial small subunit ribosomal RNA", at positions 524 to 776 of the family's 1533-position model. The record is from RNAcentral.